CCCACGGCUCGACGUCCCCAAUGUCCCCAAGGGAUGUGGGACGGUGCCACACCGCGUGUCCCCGAUGUCACCCACACCAAGGACUGAAAACCAUCGGGAAACCCGUGUCCCCUGUUGUCCCCUUUUGUCCCCAACGCAAUAAAUGGAGACCCAACACGACUGCGUGUCCUCGAUGUCACAUCUGUCCCCAACGUCCCUGAUGUCCCCAACGCCACGAAUGGAGACCCAACACGACCCCAUGACCCCAGUGUCCCCAAUGUCCCCAGUGCCCUCGAUGUCCCCAAUGCAAUGGAUGGAGAUCCAACUUGACCCCAUGUCCCCAAAGUCCCCAGUGUCCCCAAACCAAUGGAUGGAGACCCACCACGACCCCAUGUCCCCAAUGUCCCCAAUGUCCCCAAACCAAUGGAUGGAGAUCCAACCUGACCCCAUGUCCCCAAUGUCCCCAUGUCCCCAGUCCAAUGGAUGGAGAUCCAACCUCACCCCAUGUCCCCAAUGUCCCCAGUGUCCUCAAACCAAUGGAUGGAGAUCCAACCUGACGCCAUGUCCCUAAUGUCCCCACUGUCCCCAAACCAAUGAAUGGAGACCCAAAAUGACCCCAUGUCCCCAAAGUCCCCAAUGUCCCCAAACCAAUGGAUGGAGAUCCAACCUCACCCCAUGUCCCCAAUGUCCCCAGUGCCCUCAGUGUCCCCAAACCAAUGGAUGGAGAUCCAACAUGACCCCAUGUCCCCAAAGUCCCCAGUGUCCCCAAUCCAAUGGGUGGAGACCCAACGUGACCCCACGGGAUCCAGUUGGCCAACGACAACGAGAUCCAGUUGGCCAACGUCAAUGGCACGAAUUUUAAUGGGAGCCACUUGGGCAACAACAAUGGAACCCAGUUGGCCAACGUCAAGGAGACCAACACCAAUGGGAUCCAGUAGGCCACACUCAAUGGGACCAGAACCAAUUGGACUCACAUGGCCAAUGCUGAUGGGACCAGUAGCCAUGGGACCCAGUAGGCCACACUCAAUAAGACCAGUGCCAGUGGGAUCCUGUUGGCCAACGUCAACCUGACCAACACCUAUGGGACCCAGUAGGCCAACAUCAAUGGGACCAGAACCAAUGGGACCCACAUGGCCAAUGCUGAUGGGACCAGGAGCAAUGGGACCCAGUAGGCCACAGUCAAUGGGACCAGUGCCAAUGGGACCCAGUUGGCCAACACCAAUGGGACCAACGCCAACGGGACCCACACGACCAACGUCAAUGGGACCAGUAGGCCACACUCAAUGGGACCAACGUCAAUGGGACCCAGUUGGCCAACAUCAAUGGGACCAACGUCAAUGGGACCAACACUGAUGAGACCCGGGCCAAUGCCAACGGACCCCACAGCCCAGGACUCAGCACCCCACGCUGUCAGCAUCGUCGUGGUGAGUUGGGGUAGCGCUGGCGCAGCUCGGCGCGGAAGCGGCGGUAGAGCUGCCGGUUGUGGGUCAGCUCGGCCUCCUUCGCCCCAUGGAAGCCUCCUGCCUCCUUGAAGCCACGGUGGACCACGAAGGCGCCGUCCAGCACCACAAAGCGGAACCCGGCCAUGUGCAGCUCGCACGCCUGGGGGGGGUGAAGUGUCAGCCCACGGCACCCGCUGCGACCCACAGAACCCUACAGCACCCUGAGGUCUCCCCGUGGCACCCAUGGGUCCCCCACGGCCGCCCCGUAGCAUCUACAGGACCCUAAAGCUAUCAUAACCCCAGUGUUUGAUCCAUAGUCCCCACAGCCAUCCCAUAACCACAGCAGUCAGCCCACCGCCCCACAGCCAUCCCAUAGCCCCAGUGAUGACCCCAUAGUCCCAGUGGCCAACCCACCACCCCGUAGCAACCCCAUAGUCACCCCAUAGCCCUAGUGGCCAACCCCCCACUCCAUGGCCAUCCCAUAGCCACCCCAUAGCUCCAGUGGCCAUCCCAUAGCACCAGACAUCACCCCACAGCCCUUACAACCACCCCACAGCCCCUAUAUCCAACCCACAGCCUUCUCAGCCACCCCAUAGCCCCAGUGACCACCCCACAGCCCCUACAGCCACCCCAUUGCUCC
This is a long non-coding RNA of Chrysolophus pictus (golden pheasant), 2061 nucleotides long. The record is from Ensembl. Lineage: Eukaryota; Metazoa; Chordata; Aves; Galliformes; Phasianidae.